Molecule: non-coding RNA, 78 nt
Organism: Podarcis lilfordi (Lilford's wall lizard)
Lineage: Eukaryota; Metazoa; Chordata; Lepidosauria; Squamata; Lacertidae
Source: the annotation of a GenBank genome assembly
GAAGGGCCACCGUAGCUCAGCUGGAAGAGCAUCUGCUUUGCAUGCAGAAGGUCCCAGGUUCAAUCCCCAGCCUCUCCA